GGGCUCGUGGUCUAGCUGGUUAUGACGUCGCCCUUACACGGCGGAGGUCGCCGGUUCGAAUCCGGCCGGGCCCA
This 74-nucleotide transfer RNA is filed under the name Methanoregula sp. Its description in RNAcentral is "tRNA-Val". It matches the Rfam family "tRNA". From Rfam's summary of the family: Transfer RNA (tRNA) molecules are approximately 80 nucleotides in length. RNAcentral also lists the same sequence under 2 other names. Lineage: Archaea; Methanobacteriati; Methanobacteriota; Methanomicrobia; Methanomicrobiales; Methanoregulaceae. The record is from RNAcentral.